UAGGGAAUCUUCCACAAUGGGCGAAAGCCUGAUGGAGCAACGCCGCGUGUGUGAUGAAGGCUUUAGGGUCGUAAAGCACUGUUGUAUGGGAAGAAAUGCUAGAAUAGGGAAUGAUUCUAGUUCGACGGUACCAUACCAGAAAGGGACGGCUAAAUACGUGCCAGCAGCCGCGGUAAUACGUAUGUCCCGAGCGUUAUCCGGAUUUAUUGGGCGUAAAGCGAGCGCAGACGGUUGAUUAAGUCUGAUGUGAAAGCCCGGAGCUCAACUCCGGAAUGGCAUUGGAAACUGGUUAACUUGAGUGUUGUAGAGGUAAGUGGAACUCCAUGUGUAGCGGUGGAAUGCGUAGAUAUAUGGAAGAACACCAGUGGCGAAGGCGGCUUACUGGACAACAACUGACGUUGAGGCUCGAAAGUGUGGGUAGCAAACAGGAUUAGAUACCCUGGUAGUCCACACCGUAACGAUGAAUACUAGGUGUUAGGAGGUUUCCGCCUCUUAGUGCCGAAGCUAACGCAUUAAGUAUUCCGCCUGGGGAGUACGACCGCAAGGUU
RNAcentral lists this ribosomal RNA (548 nucleotides) under uncultured bacterium. Its description in RNAcentral is "bacterial SSU rRNA". It matches the Rfam family "Bacterial small subunit ribosomal RNA", at positions 355 to 895 of the family's 1533-position model. The record is from RNAcentral.